UUGCUUCAGCAACACAUAUACUAAAAUUGGAAUGAUUCAGAGAAGAUUGUCAUGGCUCCUGGGUGAAGAUGACAUGCAAAUUCAUGAAUUCAUGCAUUCUAUA
This 103-nucleotide small nuclear RNA is filed under the name Octodon degus (degu). The record is from RNAcentral. Lineage: Eukaryota; Metazoa; Chordata; Mammalia; Rodentia; Octodontidae.